CCUACGGGUGGCAGCAGUGGGGAAUAUUGGGCAAUGGGCGCAAGCCUGAACCAGCAACGCCGCGUGAAGGAAGAAGGCUUUCGGGUUGUAAACUUCUUUUGACAGUGAAGUGUAGACGAAGGUACCUGUCGAUUAAGCUACGGCUAACUACUGGCCAGCAGCCGCGGUAGUACGUAGGUGGCAAGCGUUGUCCGGAUUUACUGGGUGUAAAGGGCGUGUAGCCGGGUUGACAAGUCAGAUGUGAAAUCCUGCGGCUUAACCGCAGAACUGCAUGUGACACUGGUGAUCUUGAGUACGGGAGAGGCAGACGGAAUUCCUAGUGUAGCGGUGAAAUGCGUAGAUAUUAGGAGGAACACCAGUGGCGAAGGCGGUCUGCUGGACAGCAACUGACGGUGAGGCGCGAAAGCGUGGGGAGCAAACAGGAUUAGAUACCCGAGUAGUC
This 442-nucleotide ribosomal RNA is filed under the name uncultured bacterium. RNAcentral describes it as "partial 16S ribosomal RNA". It matches the Rfam family "Bacterial small subunit ribosomal RNA", at positions 338 to 795 of the family's 1533-position model. The record is from RNAcentral.